GGUUCCAUAGUGUAGUGGUUAUCACAUCUGCUUUACAUGCCGAACGUCCUGGGUUCGAUCCGCAGUGGAAUCA
Condylura cristata (star-nosed mole) is the source of this 73-nucleotide non-coding RNA. The record is from the annotation of a RefSeq genome assembly. Lineage: Eukaryota; Metazoa; Chordata; Mammalia; Eulipotyphla; Talpidae.